UCCCUGGUUGUUCAGUGGUUAGGACUCUGCACUCUUAAUGUAGGGGUCUGAGUUGGAUCCCUGGUCAGAGAA
Molecule: transfer RNA, 72 nt
Filed under: Capra hircus (goat)
Lineage: Eukaryota; Metazoa; Chordata; Mammalia; Artiodactyla; Bovidae
Also listed under: 1 other name
Rfam family: tRNA
About the family: Transfer RNA (tRNA) molecules are approximately 80 nucleotides in length. Their secondary structure includes four short double-helical elements and three loops (D, anti-codon, and T loops).
Source: Rfam by way of RNAcentral